Molecule: ribosomal RNA, 253 nt
Filed under: uncultured bacterium
Lineage: Bacteria
Description: partial 16S ribosomal RNA
Rfam family: Bacterial small subunit ribosomal RNA
Source: RNAcentral
UACGUAGGUGGCAAGCGUUAUCCGGAUUUAUUGGGCGUAAAGAGAACGCAGGCGGUCUUUUAAGUCUGAUGUGAAAGCCUUCGGCUUAACCGGAGUAGUGCAUUGGAAACUGGGAGACUUGAGUGCAGAAGAGGAGAGUGGAACUCCAUGUGUAGCGGUGAAAUGCGUAGAUAUAUGGAAGAACACCAGUGGCGAAAGUGGCUCUCUGGUCUGUAACUGACGCUGAGGUUCGAAAGCGUGGGUAGCAAACAGG